GACGAACGCUGGCGGCGUGCCUAACACAUGCAAGUCGAACGGAACUGUUUUGAAAGAUUUCUUCGGAAUGAAUUUGAUUUAGUUUAGUGGCGGACGGGUGAGUAACGCGUGAGUAACCUGCCUUCAAGAGGGGGAUAACAUUCUGAAAAGAAUGCUAAUACCGCAUGACAUAUCGGAACCACAUGGUUUUGAUAUCAAAGAUUUUAUCGCUUGAAGAUGGACUCGCGUCCGAUUAGUUAGUUGGUGAGGUAACGGCUCACCAAGACCGCGAUCGGUAGCCGGACUGAGAGGUUGAACGGCCACAUUGGGACUGAGACACGGCCCAGACUCCUACGGGAGGCAGCAGUGGGGGAUAUUGCGCAAUGGGGGCAACCCUGACGCAGCAACGCCGCGUGAAGGAUGAAGGUUUUCGGAUUGUAAACUUCUUUUAUUAAGGACGAAAAAUGACG
Molecule: ribosomal RNA, 449 nt
Filed under: uncultured bacterium
Lineage: Bacteria
Description: bacterial SSU rRNA
Rfam family: Bacterial small subunit ribosomal RNA
Source: RNAcentral